CCUACGGGAGGCUGCAGUGGGGAAUAUUGCACAAUGGGGGAAACCCUGAUGCAGCGACGCCGCGUGAGUGAAGAAGUAAUUCGGUAUGUAAAGCUCUAUCAGCAGGGAAGAAAAUGAAGGUACCUGAGUAAGAAGCCCCGGCUAACUACGUGCCAGCAGCCGCGGUAAUACGUAGGGGGCAAGCGUUAUCCGGAUUUACUGGGUGUAAAGGGAGCGUAGACGGCAGUGCAAGUCUGGAGGGAAAGGCGGGGGCUCAACCCCCGGACUGCUCUGGAAACUGUACGGCUGGAGUGCAGGAGAGGUAAGUGGAAUUCCUAGUGUAGCGGUGAAAUGCGUAGAUAUUAGGAGGAACACCAGUGGCGAAGGCGGCUUACUGGACUGUAACUGACGUUGAGGCUCGAAAGCGUGGGGAGCAAACAGGAUUAGAUACCCCAGUAGUC
RNAcentral lists this ribosomal RNA (440 nucleotides) under uncultured bacterium. Its description in RNAcentral is "partial 16S ribosomal RNA". It matches the Rfam family "Bacterial small subunit ribosomal RNA", at positions 338 to 795 of the family's 1533-position model. The record is from RNAcentral.